Molecule: unclassified non-coding RNA, 345 nt
Filed under: soil metagenome
Description: partial contains 5.8S ribosomal RNA, internal transcribed spacer 2, and large subunit ribosomal RNA
Rfam family: 5.8S ribosomal RNA (bases 1-120)
Source: RNAcentral
GAUGAAGAACGUAGCGAAAUGCGAUAAUUAAUGUGAAUUGCAGAAUUCCGUGAAUCAUCGAGUCUUUGAACGCACAUUGCGCCCCCUGGUAUUCCGGGGGGCAUGCCUGUCCGAGCGUCAUUGCUGCCCUCAAGCACGGCUUGUGUGUUGGGCCUCCGUCCUCCUCCCGGGGGACGGGCCCGAAAGGCAGCGGCGGCACCGCGUCCGGUCCUCGAGCGUGUGGGGCUUCGUCACCCGCUCUUGUAGGCCCGGCCGGCGCUUGCCGACACAUCAAUCUUUUUUCCAGGUUGACCUCGGAUCAGGUAGGGAUACCCGCUGAACUUAAGCAUAUCAAUAAGCGGAGGA